This 116-nucleotide ribosomal RNA is filed under the name Candidatus Omnitrophota bacterium. Lineage: Bacteria; Pseudomonadati; Candidatus Omnitrophota. The record is from RNAcentral.
GCCAGUAGCCAGAGAGAGGGGGCCACACCCGUUCCCAUUCCGAAUACGGAAGUUAAGCCCCUCAUCGCUGAUGGUACUGUACCCUUCGGGUAUGGGAGAGUAAGUCGCUGCUGGCU